UAUCUGAAGAAGCUGGAGCAUC
RNAcentral lists this microRNA (22 nucleotides) under Schmidtea mediterranea. RNAcentral describes it as "sme-miR-2201-3p". The record is from miRBase by way of RNAcentral. Lineage: Eukaryota; Metazoa; Platyhelminthes; Tricladida; Dugesiidae.